Molecule: non-coding RNA, 1461 nt
Organism: Paramuricea clavata
Lineage: Eukaryota; Metazoa; Cnidaria; Anthozoa; Malacalcyonacea; Plexauridae
Source: the annotation of a GenBank genome assembly
CAGUUAUACAAAUGAUUCUGAUAUAAAUUUGUGAUUCUGAUAUAGAUCAUGAUUCUGAUAUAGUUUUAGUUAUGAGCCUUUUGAAAACGUGUUUUCACACCAUAUAUAUAUAGUGCCCAGGAUUUUUGCGAGUUUUUGCAUGGCGUCCUAUUUUUCAAAUUUUGGAACAGUAAUAACUCGAACACUGCUUCAUGGAAAAUCAAGUUAAACGUUCAAAUGUCUUAUAUCUAGUACUUCAUAUAGCUUUCUAAUGAUGCACGUUAUUUUUUCGGUGGAAGAAAAGGUGUGAAAACACGUUUUCAAAAGCUCACAACCAAAACUAUAUAUAUCAGAUUCAUGCAUUUCCAACCGACAAUUUUAGGAAUUAUAAACAUUGUGCAACGCAUGUACUUAUACCAGAAACAGGUCUUUUACGCCUGAAGGCUGCUAUAUUCAUUAUAUAAAUGAAUUUUUUAUUUCAGAAAAGAUUUGCUCCUCGUGCCAACGAUUUGUGUCCUUACAACAAAGCCUGCACAACAGACAGCGAAUGCAACUGCGAAAUCGCUUUUUUGAAGUGCAAAAUGAUAGUGGAAGGAGACCAUAGAUGCACAAUGGUGAAUACUUUUGAAACGGGGGGAGUUGAACCUUUUAGGUCCUACGUCUUCUAUUCUACUGAGCAGACAAUUCCAGCGAAGAAACCUUUUAAGAAAUUGCAUAAGAGUUACUGACAGAAUAAUACGCUGCCUUAAUUAAUAAAGAAUAUACUUUAAGAAAUUUAUGUCGGUGUACUACAUUUUUGCAUAGUUUAAAUAAAAGCAUUAUAAAAUAAACUUUUUAAUGUGAGACAGUUAUCUUCUUUUAGAAAAUUUCAAUUCUCUACAUCUUGCUUGAGCUUUAGCCAUCAUCACGAAUUACAAAAGGUUUGUAGUAGCUUGUAAAAAUUUUAGCAGCUUGAUCUUAAUUCGUAUAUUCGCAUAUAUUGAAAAUUGAAAUAUGUAACAUCAGUUAGGACUUGCCAUGCAUGCAACUUCUUUUAUACGGCUUUUUCAUGAAUUAAGGUUGUCAUAGUCAAUUAGCCUUUUUCACGAAGGCCAAAAUCCGCCAUUUUUGGGGUACUGUAUGUCACUCUGUCCUCUUGAAAAAUUCUACACAAUACUAAAAGUUGUAUUUUGUGGUGCGGAGACUCUCAAGCGUGGGAGAGGCAGUACCCCCAAAUAUGGCGGGAAAAUCUUCCAUGAGAAAGGUUAAUUGUAUACAGCUAUUUCAAUUAAGGUUGUCCCAGCAAAAAAAGUCGAAUACGAGCGCGAAAGGCUGAUGGGAAUCGCUAAUAAAUGAAUGAAUUUAUUAGCGAUUCCCAGCAGCCUUUCGCGCUCGUAUUCGACUUUUCCGCUUUGCUCGCGGGACAACCUUAAUUGAAAUAGCUGUAUACCAGCCUAGACCUAGGCCUUCUAGUCUUAUUUAUAUAUUUUUAAUAUUCAGCGC